Long non-coding RNA from Carassius auratus (goldfish), 2295 nucleotides. NCBI's taxonomy places the organism in Eukaryota, Metazoa, Chordata, Actinopteri, Cypriniformes, Cyprinidae. The record is from Ensembl.
AAUUUUUUCCCAUUGAAUAUAAUAGAAAAUUUAUAUAUAUAUAUAUAUAUAUAUAUAUAUAUAUAUAUAUAUAUAUAUAUAUAUAUAUAUAUAUAUAUAUAUAUAUGUAUUUAUUUAUUUAUUUUUAAUUAAUGCUGUAUUUUAUUUUAAAGUACAGCCAAGGCCUAUAGAAAACAAUUUUUGAAAUUAGAUUGGUGCCAUCUGGUGGACAAAUUAAGCAUUUUUAUCAUGCAAUAGCACAUUUUUACCACUAUAGAGAAUUUACAGCUCUCUGUAGAAAGGCUUGUGAAUUCUAGUGAUUUUUGCACAUAUUUGCCUAUUUAUUUCAGGUUGUGGAUUUUAAUAUGUAAUCACAGAUUCUCAAAGACUAUUUUUGUCAAGUUAUUAUUUUUUUUGUUUGGUUGGUUUAAAUGGUAAUUUCAAAUGCCAGUUUUACUUUAUAAUACAGUCAAACCUGAACAUUGCAUUAGAAAGAGAACAAAUGGAAAGCAUUUUGUUACCCAUUGUUUUAAUUCUAACUUAAUAAAAAAAAAAAAUGAUUUCAAUCAUAACAUAUUUUUAUUAACCUUUUAUUAGAGAGAGACAUAGUAUGUGACUUUUGAAUUUUGGACCCAAUGUCUCCCCUUUAUUUUAUUCAUUGAUUUUAUUUCACAUAUUCUCAUAUGUCUCUGUUACAGGCUCACCAGUCUAGCAUUCCCUUGUGUGUGUGUGUUAUCAGAUGCUUUGAUUGGCUUCUUGAUUUUAUAAACAGGUGCUGCAGUGUGUUCAAGAGAGAGACAUGGUGUGUCUAUUUUGCAACCUUGAUGGCUUACAGCCUCAUGCUUUCAUUGCUGUGCACUUUAUUUCUUACAUUGAUUAAUAAUUGCUUUUAUUUCAGACAUUUCCCAAAAUUAGCUUUUGCAAUGACACACUUUCAUUUGUGUGUGCGUGUGUUUUUGUGUGUUUAAGUGUGUGUGUGUGAAUUUUUUUGUCUGUUUUGCACUCUUGACGUUUUAGAGAUUCACCCCUUCACUGUUGUGUGCUUUUUUUUGCAUCGUGGCUGAUUUGUAGAUUGUACACACAAAAAAACUCCGUAUUUUCAUAUUUUUGCCAAUUUCCCAUUCAUUUCCUAUGGCGGGUCAUAUUUGACCCGAAGACCCUGAGUGUGACUAUUUUUUUACGACCACUUAGACUUUUCAAAUCCUGUCCCCAAUUUUUUGGGGUGUUCAUAUACCAAGUACCAAUAAAGUCACCAAGUUUCGGACCAUUCCGAUGAAGCUACGAUUUUUAACAUUUAAAAAAAAAAAUGUGGGUCAUAAAUGACCGAAGAACCCCAGAGGGUUAAAGCCAACUCAAACUUGGUUAUUGGUUAGUGAUUCACAAAGGUUCACUGAUAUUGACGCACAAAUGUGCUGAUUUGUCCAGAAAUCUGGAAAAAGUUCAGAUGUGACAGUAAUUGUAGGUUUUGUAGUGGUUAUAGUAUUUUAAUAAUUCAAUUAUAAUAAUUAUAUUAAUUCUAAUUAAUGAAGUGAAUUUAACAUUCUGUCACGAUCCUGACUUUUUCCCUUCUCCAUCUCUUUAUCACUCACUCACUCCACUAUUACGCACACACCUUUCCCUCUGAUUUAUUAAUUUCCUUCAGCUGCUCCUCAUUUAUUCUAAUCUUCGCACUUAGUGCUUUUACACCUGUUCCCCUUUUUCUCUAGAUUAGCUCUCCUUCUUCUUUUCUCCUCCUUCCCUUUUCUUUGCCAAUUUAUUCCACAAAUCUCAUGAAUGCCAGAUGUCUUUCUCUCCAUGCAAUAUCGUGUCCUAGUCCUGUCUGGUUGGGGAUUGGUGCUUAGCUGGUUGUCUUUUCUGUAUUUAUCAUUUUGUCUGUCCUGUGCCCAGUUUGCCGGUCUGUGUCCGAGAGUGUACUAAGAGUACCGAAGUUUGCCGAUGCUCGUCCACGGAUUCAUUUAUUUGCAACUGUGCUACUUAUCCCACGGGCGGACGUAUUGUAUUGAACGACAAGUGAAUGUUUUAGUUCCAGUUUUUUCCCUACAUGAAGAUUUUAGUUUUUUAUUGAACUCUCUGACGAACUCCUGUGUUUUCAUUAAAGACAUUGUUUGCUCUGCAAUUGGUUUCUGGUCGUCUUACCUCGUAACACAUUACCAGGUUUGAAAAAUACGUUUUCAUUUGUAAGACAAAAAGUCAACACAUUAAAAUAAUUUCAAAUUUUACUUGUAAUGCUUUUGUUUAGCGCUAUAUAAAUAUAAGGAAUUAUUGUUUAGAUGUUUAAAUAUGUUAUGUUAUAAACCAAUUUAAACACAAUAUUUA